AUGAACGCUGGCGGCGUGCCUAAUACAUGCAAGUCGAGCGAACAGACGAGGAGCUUGCUCCUCUGACGUUAGCGGCGGACGGGUGAGUAACACGUGGAUAACCUACCUAUAAGACUGGGAUAACUUCGGGAAACCGGGGCUAAUACCGGAUAAUAUAUUUAACCGCAUGGUUCAAUAGUGAAAGACGGUUUUGCUGUCACUUAUAGAUGGAUCCGCGCCGCAUUAGCUAGUUGGUAAGGUAACGGCUUACCAAGGCAACGAUGCGUAGCCGACCUGAGAGGGUGAUCGGCCACACUGGAGCGGAGACACGGUCCAGACUCCUACGGGAGGCAGCAGUAGGGAAUCUUCCGCAAUGGGCGAAAGCCUGACGGAGCAACGCCGCGUGAGUGAUGAAGGUCUUCGGAUCGUAAAACUCUGUUAUUAGGGAAGAACAAAUGUGUAAGUAACUAUGCACGUCUUGACGGUAACUAAUCAGAAAGCCACGGCUAACUACGUG
Molecule: ribosomal RNA, 496 nt
Filed under: uncultured bacterium
Lineage: Bacteria
Description: partial 16S ribosomal RNA
Rfam family: Bacterial small subunit ribosomal RNA
Source: RNAcentral